UUUUUUUUUGAGUACCAGAAAUACUGAAGAACUGAAGGAUGGCGAGCCUUGCCCAGCAGAUCUGUAGACGGUAUUGGAUAUGGUGUGGCCUGCCAUAAAGACCUGCCACAGAGGACUUGGAUUUGCAGAUUCAUUCAUUCUGACAUAGAUAAGAAACACACACUAACCUACCCGGGUAGUAGUGUUAGAACUUGACAUUGAACACACACAUCUGGAUAUUUCCCCCAAGACUGAACUCUUUCUUGGAGGUUGAAUAUUUCCUCCUCAAUACAGAGAAGCUAUAGAGUUGGAACACCCAACUCAAAAAGGGACCUAAUUCUUUUGUUUAUUAUUUUAAUUAAUUUUUAUUAUUUUAAGGACUUAGAGCAAAUGUCUCAUACCGGUUCCACAGGGGGCCGAGUGUCUGCUGGUUUUCGCUCUCACCUUAAUUGACUAAUUAGGUCACUAAUUGGUUUGUUUCUACCCCCACCUGGUUGUUUAGGUCUGAACUGGGAACCAAUUUAAAGGAAAACCCAAAAACCUGCAGACACAUGGCCCGCCAUGGAACCAGUUUGAGACCUCUGACUUGAGUGAUGUGUCUCAUCUACCCAAUCAGGCUAAUGUUAUCUGCAAAUUGCCUUGGUAACCACUAAUUACGAGUGAGCUAUCCACUUUAAAACAAUGGAACAUAUAAAUGUUUUCAGUUUGAUAAUGAUCAAUUUCAACCAUGGAUUUAUCAGUUGGAGGACUGCAUACCCAGUAAUGUUUGGUAUUCCUCUGCUGCAAGUCGCUGCAAAGAAUUGUGAAGCAGUAUAUACGCAUGGAAAGCUGAUUCUGAAGUCUGACUGUAAUAACCACAUAUAAACAAAGGAUAAAAAAUAGAGGUCAAGCACGUGCCCACCACCCACUGCGGGCCCUGGUGCAACCGCACCUCGGAUAGCAACGCCAGUGGGGACAUAUAUGUUUUUGCAAAUGUUUUGGAAUGGGAUGGCCAACAAGCUCAAAUAGGUGUGACGGUCGGGUGUCCACAUACUUCUGGCCAUAUCCUGUAUGUGCACCGAUGGACACAACAUCAUCUUAUUGAUUCUGCUACGACAAACAUGCAAAAUAUUGUCUUCAACCAUUUCAUUUAAUAUUACUUAGUUAACAUAUUGUCUAUGAUGUGUGCUCUUAGUGAGAACUAUUACAGACCUCUGUAUUUCAAUGUGUGGCUGAUAUGUGAUUUACAUGUGCAUUUUGCCAGUACUGUACUGUACCCAAGCUCCAC
Esox lucius (northern pike) is the source of this 1246-nucleotide long non-coding RNA. RefSeq lists it as uncharacterized. The record is from RefSeq and is a predicted model, not a curated record. The transcript has 3 exons. NCBI's taxonomy places the organism in Eukaryota, Metazoa, Chordata, Actinopteri, Esociformes, Esocidae.